Molecule: ribosomal RNA, 404 nt
Filed under: uncultured bacterium
Lineage: Bacteria
Description: bacterial SSU rRNA
Rfam family: Bacterial small subunit ribosomal RNA
Source: RNAcentral
UAGGGGAUCUUGCACAAUGGGGGAAACCCUGAUGCAGCGAUGCCGCGUGAGUGAAGAAGGCCUUUGGGUUGUAAAACUCUUUCGUCGGGGAAGAAAAUGACGGUACCCGAAUAAGAAGGUCCGGCUAACUUCGUGCCGGCAGCCGCGGUAAUACGAAGGGAUCUAGCGUAGUUCGGAAUUACUGGGCUUAAAGAGCUCGUAGGUGGUUAGAAAAGUUGGUGGUGAAAUCCCAAGGCUUAACCUUGGAACUGCCAUCAAAACUUUUUAGCUUGAGUGUGAUAGAGGAAAGUGGAAUUUCUAGUGUAGAGGUGAAAUUCGUAGAUAUUAGAAAGAACACCAAAAGCGAAGGCAACUUUCUGGAUCACUACUGACACUGAGGAGCGAAAGCAUGGGUAGCGAAGAGG